GUCACCAUAACAUGAGGAACUGUAUUAAAGGGUCACAGCAUUAGGAAGGUGGAGAACCACUGACUUAGGUGGAGGGCACGCUGAUCAAGAGUGGGGCCUCGGAGUGGACCACCACCCAUUCACAUCUUGCCUCCCUGCUUUCUGGUUGUGAGGGCCAGAGCAAAUGCUUUCUUGCACUAGGCCUCAGUUUCCCCUGCACAGAAUGAGGAUGAGGAUGAGCGUCAUGGUCCUCCAAAGGGUAAUUAUGAGGAUAAAACGAGACAUUACGUUUAAAUCAUGCAGCAGAGUCCGGCUCACAGUGAAUACCCACAUAGUAAUGUCCAUUGCCAGCUCUGACUCCCAGAGCCGAGGCUGGAAGAGGAAAAACUGCCCUUGAGUCUUGGCAGCGAGGAGCCUCAGGCUCAAGCCCUUUGCUCUGAGGAGUGUUAGGCGGCCUCACCAAACACAUUUUCUUGGCAGCUCCUCUUUUGGGGAGACUUUCCCAGUGGUCAGGGCCUAGGGAAAUUAGCCUCCCCUCUUUCCUCCAUACUCCACUCAAGUCUAGGACCCUCAAGGUGCAACAUCAACCUGGCACGGGGAACUCUUCCCAUCCCAUUUCUGGCAGGGCUGGGGCAGGGCUCAGGAGCGGUGAGGAAAUUCAUGGGAGUCACCCUCAGAGGUGGGGUGGGGCGGGGAAGGGUGGAGAAGGACUGCAUGGUUCACAGGGAAACCAAUCCCUCCUCCCCAGAGCAGGAAUGGGGCCUAGCCCACGCCCACUUUGUGGGGGAGGAACGCCCUGGGCUGCGGUGCCCCCACCUCAGUUACAACCCCUCUCCCGGGCCCCUCCUGACGGUUGGUCUGCAGUGAGAACUACACAAGGACACAAGCUCAGCUCAACUUCUCUUCUCUCCCCACUGGGGCUGAGAUGGGAGGACUCUGUGGCUGGAACCAGGAGCUAUUUCUUGGCAGCGCAGUCACGCUGAUGAUGUUCCUGCUGCCGUGAAGCGCGGCCCCUCUCUGGGUCUCCCUCAUGUGGCGGAGGGGCUAAACCUGGACAAUCAGAAGGCAAUGUUUGCACCAUGAAAACAAAAGACUCCCCACCCCACCAGUCUCAUGACGUGAGUGUCCAUCUCCAGGGAUUUGCCAGACACUAUUUAUCAAACUUCUCGAGACAGACUCUUAUCAAGACUGGAUUCUAGAAUGUGGCACAAAGCAAGGGGGGAAGCAGACAACCAAACUGUCCCUGUGAGCCGAGGGCGAGGACACGGAGAAGUCUUGCAAGAAGACCUCAAGAGUGUCCAGAGCUUCCUCUCUCGGACUGAGCCUGGAGUCCAUGGCAGUUUCGAUUGUGAAGCCGACUCUAUUGUGGGAGCAUCUGGGCAAUGACCCAAACGGCUGAGGUGACCCUUCCCAUGAUCUGCCCACAAAAGCAGCUGCACUGAACUGCACAGGUACAUGAGCAUCGACUGAGAAUCAUGUACUUCCAGUUGCAUAGACUUUGCAAGAAGCGGCUUUCCACCUCAUCUGUUUUCACCACUUGUUGGCAGAUGAGACGUUGAGCCCUGGGUUGGGAAAGUGCAUGUGUAAGUCCUGCUGGGGGCUGAGAGCAGCGGGAGGAGAACUCCAUCUAUUUGGGCUUUCGCUGCUGUGCGGGACGCAGGUUGUGGGGCCUUAGGGAAAUAAAAGCUACAAUUUAUUGGGCAUCUA
Myotis myotis is the source of this 1686-nucleotide long non-coding RNA. RefSeq lists it as uncharacterized. The transcript is spliced from 4 exons. Lineage: Eukaryota; Metazoa; Chordata; Mammalia; Chiroptera; Vespertilionidae. The record is from RefSeq and is a predicted model, not a curated record.